Molecule: long non-coding RNA, 1334 nt
Organism: Prionailurus viverrinus (fishing cat)
Lineage: Eukaryota; Metazoa; Chordata; Mammalia; Carnivora; Felidae
Exons: 3
Source: RefSeq, a predicted model, not a curated record
UAAUAAUACUUAUAUAGUUAUAGUUAAUAUUAAAUGAGUCAAAGCAGGUAGAACUUUCUCCUGGAACAUAAGUAAGUAAUUUUAUAAAUUGCAUUAUACUUGGGAUAAUUCAUUAUAUUGUUAUGAAUAAAACAUAAGUUGGAGAUAAAGUAAUCAAAAUUGCAAGAAAAUGCAUAGUGUUUUAUGGUGUAAGAAUUCUGUAACAAGUCAGCAAACAGUGGGAUAGAAAUGGUUAAAUAUUAAAACCUUAAACAGCUAUAGACAGAGAUGCUUAAUAAAGAUAUAUUUCUUUAUAAUAGGGAGUAUGUUUUUUAGCUUGUAAAUAUUUGGAUUUACUCUUUUUUGCCCAAAGGAAUGAAGCAUAAAAAAACCCAAAACCAUUAAAGCAGUGUUGGCAGAAGACAAAGAGAAAAAAAAAGGAAAAAAAAUAUUGAAGGUUUGCAAUGUUAUCCAGUUCUAUGUCAUUCAUUAGAUGUUUAGUCAAAGAAAUCUUAUACCCAGAAGUAACCAGACUGUCUAUUAAGGGUUUGUCCUCCUCUUUCUGCAAAGUGUCAAGACACAGCUCAUGUGCAUGUGUCUCCUUCAUUAGCAUUCAUAAGUCCCUUCAGUCAGAAGAGAUGACUUCAUCUGUGUGAUUCUCUGGUGACUUGUGCUUCCCUAUUUUGAGAGUGUUUCUACAUUAUUUUAAAAGUCUCUACAUUUAAGAAAAACAAUGAAAGGUUAACUGACUUAAGAUUAUGGAAAUGUGUGUUUUUUCUCCUUAUUUACAUAUAUUCCAAAAUUUUUAUUGUGAUUAUAUAUUACCUUUAUAAUAUAAAGACAUGGUAUAUAAGACGUUAAGCUUUUACAGUUACAUUUUUUAAUAGAAACACAAAUAAACAUUUCUCACUAAAGAGUAAACUUCUUAUAGACAGACAUUUCAUUUAUUCUUCUCUUUCUUUUUUAAAAAAUGUAUUUUAUAAUCUAUCUCUAUUUCAACUGGGAGAAUACUGACUAAAUUAUUAUUACAAAUUAAUAGCAUAGUAUGUCAAAUAGUGAAACAAUAAAUAAGUUUUAGCAAAUUAGAUUUUUAAAACAAAUGAAAACACAAAUAUGGAUGGCUAGCCUAACAUGAAGACCUGAAGGACAAAUGACAUUUUAAGAUUUUUCUCUGUACAUUUUAUAAAUAUCCUCGAUGUUUGUUAUAGCAUACACCAUUUUGUUGAUAUUAAAUGUGCUGGCACUUAAUCCAGUUUCUAAACUUAGGAUGUAUUUUUUACAAACCAGUUUUGCUUGUGUUUUUUUUGUAUAUUUUUAUGUUUAUUUAUUGAGAGAAAGAGAGAGAGAACACGAGU